This is a small nucleolar RNA of Nymphaea colorata (pocket water lily), 82 nucleotides long. RefSeq annotates it as small nucleolar RNA SNORD24. The transcript has a single exon. The record is from RefSeq and is a predicted model, not a curated record. NCBI's taxonomy places the organism in Eukaryota, Viridiplantae, Streptophyta, Magnoliopsida, Nymphaeales, Nymphaeaceae.
UGCCCAUGAUGUGAUGAUAAUCUUUGCUAUCCUUGAUGGUAAAUCCACAUGAUGAAUAUUAUCCACCAAGAUCUAUGAGGCC